Molecule: long non-coding RNA, 303 nt
Filed under: Helianthus annuus (common sunflower)
Lineage: Eukaryota; Viridiplantae; Streptophyta; Magnoliopsida; Asterales; Asteraceae
Description: hypothetical non coding rna
Source: RNAcentral
AAAUCUCUUGAAAUUUCUGAAAGCUGAUGAGAGUUGGAGGUGCUUUAAGAAACCUGAGUUCGGAGAAGACAGGGAAGAGCCGGAACCCUAGAUCUGAACACCGUGAGUUAUCUUCAUGAUGGGGAUGCUUUUGUUAGAGAGGAGAAGAGAACGAUUGCUGGUGCAAUUCAAUACAAUUGAUUACCUUAGCGAUGAAGUGAAGUAACGUUGAAGAUGAGGUCGAUUAGGUUUCUUAGAGAGAGACGAUUUGGCUGAAACCCUUAGAUGCCAUUGAAUUUUAUUAGUUUAUUUAAAGGAAAGUGC